Molecule: ribosomal RNA, 432 nt
Filed under: uncultured bacterium
Lineage: Bacteria
Description: partial 16S ribosomal RNA
Rfam family: Bacterial small subunit ribosomal RNA
Source: RNAcentral
CCUACGGGAGGCAGCAGUGGGGAAUUUUGGACAAUGGGGGCAACCCUGAUCCAGCAAUGCCGCGUGUGUGAAGAAGGCCUUCGGGUUGUAAAGCACUUUUGUGAACCGAGCGGUACCUGAAGAAUAAGCACCGGCUAACUACGUGCCAGCAGCCGCGGUAAUACGUAGGGUGCAAGCGUUAAUCGGAAUUACUGGGCGUAAAGCGUGCGCAGGCGGUUAUGUAAGACAGAUGUGAAAUGCCCGGGCUUAACCUGGGAACUGCAUUUGUGACUGCAUGGCUAGAAUCUGGCAGAGGGGGGUAGAAUUCCACGUGUAGCAGUGAAAUGCGUAGAUAUGUGGAGGAAUACCGAUGGCGAAGGCAGCCCCCUGGGCUAAAUUGACGCUCAUGCACGAAAGCGUGGGGAGCAAACAGGAUUAGAUACCCUUGUAGUC